Molecule: ribosomal RNA, 497 nt
Filed under: uncultured bacterium
Lineage: Bacteria
Description: partial 16S ribosomal RNA
Rfam family: Bacterial small subunit ribosomal RNA
Source: RNAcentral
GAUGAACGCUGGCGGCGUGCCUAAUACAUGCAAGUCGAGCGAACGGACGAGAAGCUUGCUUCUCUGAUGUUAGCGGCGGACGGGUGAGUAACACGUGGAUAACCUACCUAUAAAACUGGGAUAACUUCGGGAAACCGGAGCUAAUACCGGAUGAUAUUUUGAACCGCAUGGUUCAAAAGUGAAAGACGGUCUUGCUGUCACUUAUAGAUGGAUCCGCGCUGCAUUAGCUAGUUGGUAAGGUAACGGCUUACCAAGGCAACGAUGCAUAGCCGACCUGAGAGGGUGAUCGGCCACACUAGAACGCAGACACAGUCCAGACUCCUACGGGAGGCAGCAGUAGGGAAUCUUCCGCAAUGGGCGAAAGCCUGACGGAGCAACGCCGCGUGAGUGAUGAAGGUCUUCGGAUCGUAAAACUAUGUUAUUAGGGAAGAACAUAUGUGUAAGUAACUGUGCACAUCUUGACGGUACCUAAUCAGAAAGCCACGGCUAACUACGUG